RNAcentral lists this ribosomal RNA (253 nucleotides) under uncultured bacterium. RNAcentral describes it as "partial 16S ribosomal RNA". It matches the Rfam family "Bacterial small subunit ribosomal RNA", at positions 524 to 776 of the family's 1533-position model. The record is from RNAcentral.
UACGGGGGGGGCAAGCGUUGUUCGGAUUCAUUGGGCGUAAAGGGUGUGUAGGUGGCGCCGUAAGUCGGGUGUGAAAUUUCGGAGCUUAACUCCGAAACUGCAUUCGAUACUGCCGUGCUUGAGGACUGGAGAGGAGACUGGAAUUUACGGUGUAGCGGUGAAAUGCGUAGAUAUCGUAAGGAAGACCAGUGGCGAAGGCGGGUCUCUGGACAGUUCCUGACGCUGAGGCACGAAGGUCAGGGGAGCAAACGGG